This 440-nucleotide ribosomal RNA is filed under the name uncultured bacterium. Its description in RNAcentral is "partial 16S ribosomal RNA". It matches the Rfam family "Bacterial small subunit ribosomal RNA", at positions 338 to 795 of the family's 1533-position model. The record is from RNAcentral.
CCUACGGGUGGCUGCAGUGGGGAAUAUUGCACAAUGGGGGAAACCCUGAUGCAGCGACGCCGCGCGAGUGAAGAAGUAUCUCGGUACGUAAAGCUCUAUCAGCAGGGAAGAACAUGACGGUACCUGACUAAGAAGCACCUGCUAACUCCGGGCCAGCAGCCGCGGUAAUACGUAGGGGGCAAGCGUUAUCCGGAUUUACUGGGUGUAAAGGGAGCGUAGACGGCAGCACAAGUCUGGAGUGAAAUCCCGGGGCUUAACCCCGGAACUGCUUUGGAAACUGGGCGGCUGGAGUGCAGGAGGGGGAAGCGGAAUUCCUAGUGUAGCGGUGAAAUGCGUAGAUAUUAGGAGGAACACCAGUGGCGAAGGCGGCUUACUGGACUGUAACUGACGUUGAGGCGCGAAAGCGUGGGUAGCAAACAGGAUUAGAUACCCCAGUAGUC